This 429-nucleotide ribosomal RNA is filed under the name Gemmatimonadota bacterium. Its description in RNAcentral is "Gemmatimonadetes bacterium partial 16S ribosomal RNA". It matches the Rfam family "Bacterial small subunit ribosomal RNA", at positions 355 to 776 of the family's 1533-position model. Lineage: Bacteria; Pseudomonadati; Gemmatimonadota. The record is from RNAcentral.
UAGGGAAUCUUCGGCAAUGGACGAAAGUCUGACCGAGCAACGCCGCGCGAGUGAAGAAGGUUUUCGGAUCGUAAAACUCUGUUGUUAGAGAAGAACAAGGACGUUAGUAACUGAACGUCCCCUGACGGUAUCUAACCAGAAAGCCACGGCUCACUACGUGCCAGCAGCCGCGGUAAUACGUAGGUGGCAAGCGUUGUCCGGAUUUAUUGGGCGUAAAGCGAGCGCAGGCGGUUUCUUAAGUCUGAUGUGAAAGCCCCCGGCUCAACCGGGGAGGGUCAUUGGAAACUGGGAGGCUUGAGUGCAGAAGAGGAGAGUGGAAUUCCAUGUGUAGCGAUGAAAUGCGUAGAUAUAUGGAGGAACACCAGUGGCGAAGGCGGCUCUCUGGUCUGUAACUGACGCUGAGGCUCGAAAGCGUGGGGAGCAAACAGG